UACGGAGGAUGCGAGCGUUAUCCGGAUUUAUUGGGUUUAAAGGGUGCGUAGGCGGACUGUCAAGUCAGCGGUAAAAUUGAGAGGCUCAACCUCUUCCCGCCGUUGAAACUGGUGGUCUUGAGUGGAUGAGAAGUACGCGGAAUACGUGGUGUAGCGGUGAAAUGCAUAGAUAUCACGCAGAACUCCGAUUGCGAAGGCAGCGUACCGGCAUCCAACUGACGCUGAGGCACGAAAGCGUGGGGAUCAAACAGG
Molecule: ribosomal RNA, 252 nt
Filed under: uncultured bacterium
Lineage: Bacteria
Description: partial 16S ribosomal RNA
Rfam family: Bacterial small subunit ribosomal RNA
Source: RNAcentral